This 1020-nucleotide long non-coding RNA is filed under the name Marmota monax (woodchuck). The record is from RNAcentral. Lineage: Eukaryota; Metazoa; Chordata; Mammalia; Rodentia; Sciuridae.
CACAAGUAAUCUCUAAUUCUCAAAGUUAUUGUACAAAUUUUUAUAAAAUGAUAAACAGAUAUGACUCUGUCUACAGAAAUAGCCAAGGGCUUUAGCUAUAUUUUCAAUGAGACGUUUCUUAUAAAGGUACAAUAAUUUGUUUAGAUUUUAAGGUUUUCAGAAAUUAUUCCAAAGUAUAACCAGAAAGAAUUCCUAAAAGGAAAAGAAGAUGCUUCAACAGAGAGGAAGCACACAUUAGAGGUCCUAAGAAGAAAAAAGAAAUCAUCUUUGGGUGAAACAAGGUCUUUAUAUAUUAGAUUUUAAUGAUAAGAAUAUUUUCCUAAAUAGAAAGAUUUAUCAUUAUCUAGACAGAUGAUAUAGAAAGUUAAAACAAUUGAGAAAAAGAUUUAUAUGUACUUGACUGACUAUAAAAAAUUUAACUGAUUAAUUCAAGGAUAUUUCAAACUAUUUUCCUAUGCUGAUGUGAGCUAAAAUUUUGUCCAUAUUUUGACAUGAUAAAGACCUAUUAAAAUGUUAAGUUUGAUUCAUUUAAGAGAGGUCUUUAUUGACUAAUGAUUCUUACUGUUUAAGGCAAAGAUUAAUUCUGGUAAAUAAAUUCACAUCCUUAAUUAAACACUAAAUGUAUUAAACUGCUAACUUAGAUCUCAAUUUUGACAAUUCUCUUUGGAGACUAAAUUUGAUUGAUUCAAAGACACUGCUAAUUCUUACAUAUUACUGUUUGUUGGAUAAUUAUGAGAUUUGGGAGAUAAUUUUAUUAGGACUGGGGUUCUCCAAGUUAAAGUUAUAUGUUAGUUUUGAACAAUAAAAGUUGCAAAACUUGUUAAAAAUUGGUAUUAUAUAAGUUCUCUGACUGAACCUAUUAUCCAUAAAAAAUAUGGUAAGAUUUAUAUACUACUCCCUAUACUGGGAAGUAAACAAACACAUUUUCUUUUUCUUUCUUUUCUUUUUGAUUUUUGCAUUGUUCUUUUUAUUUAUAUAUUUUUUUUUUAUAAAGAACUGUAUUCUGAUUUUCCUUUUCUU